AUACGGAGGGCGCAAGCGUUGCCCGGAAUCACUGGGUGUAAAGGGUGCGUAGGCGGGGCUGUAAGUCAGAGGUGAAAGCCCUCGGCUCAACCGGGGAAUUGCCUCUGAUACUGCAGCUCUUGAGUCCCGGAGAGGCCGCUGGAAUUCCUGGUGUAGCGGUGAAAUGCGUAGAUAUCAGGAGGAACACCGGAGGCGAAGGCGGGUGGCUGGACGGGGACUGACGCUGAGGCACGAAAGCGUGGGGAGCAAACAGGAUUAGAAACCCUAGUAGUCC
This 274-nucleotide ribosomal RNA is filed under the name uncultured bacterium. Its description in RNAcentral is "partial 16S ribosomal RNA". It matches the Rfam family "Bacterial small subunit ribosomal RNA", at positions 523 to 796 of the family's 1533-position model. The record is from RNAcentral.